UUACUCCUACGGGAGGCAGCAGGGGGGAAUAUUGCACAACGGAGGAAACUCUGAUGCAGCGACGCCGCGUGAGUGAUGAAGUAUUUCGGUAUGUAAAGCUCUAUCAGCAGGGAAGAAGACGACGGUACCUGACUAAGAAGCCCCGGCUAACUACGUGCCAGCAGCCGCGGUAAUAA
Molecule: ribosomal RNA, 176 nt
Filed under: uncultured Syntrophococcus sp.
Lineage: Bacteria; Bacillati; Bacillota; Clostridia; Lachnospirales; Lachnospiraceae
Description: partial 16S ribosomal RNA
Rfam family: Bacterial small subunit ribosomal RNA
Source: RNAcentral